Molecule: long non-coding RNA, 1866 nt
Filed under: Lingula anatina
Lineage: Eukaryota; Metazoa; Brachiopoda; Lingulata; Lingulida; Lingulidae
Description: uncharacterized LOC106174234
Source: RNAcentral
AUUACACAGCCUCAACCCAUUCUCUUUCACCCACUAUAGGGCAUCAGGUGGUUCUGCUUAAUCUCCACCUGAAUGAGAGUGAGACUGCAAGUACUCCCAGCUGCUCUUCAGUAAAUAUUGAUUCAUGAUCAGACAGGAGGCCAACUUGUAUGGUCAGCUUGGGAUACUGGAGGAAAAACUGACCACAUAAUGUAAAGAAAGGCAGGAGUGAAGGAGUCAGAUGGAAAUAGGUCCCGAUCUUCAGAACCAAAGCCAUGCAAACCGUUUGUUUGAUUUCAGAGCCAUACACAAGUGAUUCCGUGUUGAUGCCAAAGUGACUUAGAUUUCAACCAAGAUGGAAGAAGAAGACAAUCAAACAGAGAGGCCCUCCAGACCACAAACACAAACAUUCCAAAUUCAACAAAGAAAAAAGAAGAAAAAAGGUAGCAGCAACAGAACAGACAUGUGGUCAAAAUUUCUCUCCCUCUUCGCAUGUGGUGUUCGAAGAUCAAAGAAAAAACACAGGUUCUACUACCGUAAGGGCACAGAGGGUACGGACCAGGACCCCCCAGGGAGUGACCUAGAAUGGGACUACUCUGAGGGCUGUUUUCACUUUCAGGGGUGUGACCGCAUGACACGCAUGUCCUGGACCAGCCUGGACAGUAACCCGUCUCUGCACUUGGACUUUCACAAUAAAGUGUUACUGUCUGACUGGAAUGAAAAGCCAGCUUGAAGUAGUGAAAUGUUAUAUUUUGAUGGUACUGGUUAAUGUUAUGGUCUUAAAUACAACAGUGAAUACAGAAUGUGUUGGCAUCUCUAUUUCUCUACUACAGUGGUCCAGCAUGUCAAAGUGAAUAUGAAUGCAGAAUGGUAUUGGAAAUUGCUUUUUUUUUUAAAGUUUAUAUUUUAUUACAUUAUGAAUGCAUUACUUUUAUCAAUAUUAGAUAGAGCUAUUCUUUCAACUCGGGGAAAAGUAUACCAGCCUGUAAUACAUUAUGCUGUAUCACCUUAGACUGAACACAAAGAUGCAACUGAGGCUGGAUGUGAGUUUAGUAGCCAUAUUGAAUGCUGGAGAUGUUUCUUUAAUACAUGUGCAGUACAUGUACAUUGUUACUGUCAGUAAUAUAGAUAAAGUGAAAGAACAUAACAUGUCAUUAGCACAGAAAAUCUCAGGCUUAGCAGCUGGCCGUGUCAAGCAUAGGGGCUCCAUUUUGAUGACUCUCUAAUGUAAUGGCAAGGCUACAGUAUAUUAAAUUUUCAAUAUCUCAAAAAGGUGCUAGAGAGAAAAGAUUUGAGAAGGGCCCCAGAAAGGGCUUAUUAAGAUAUUAAGACUUUAACAAUUUCUGCAUGAAGACGAAGCAAAAAAGCUUCUAUUCUGGAAAGGUGCUACAUACUGUAUAUGUAUUUCAUCCUGACUUUACAGUAAGCUGCAGCUUAGAGCCUGAGCCAGAUAAACAGUUUUUUCCUAACUUUUAAUUACCAAUAUCUGUUCUAUUAUAAAUUUUAAUGGAUUAAAGACAGGGGAAAACAUUCCAUAAUAUUUCAAUAAAAAUAUUUUCAUGGUUUCCAAGACAGAUUUGCAAUAUUUUUAUACUGCAAGAGGUACUUUCUAGUCUCUGAAUAUUUUUUUCUAAUACAGAAAGCAGAGUACAUUGGAUCUUGGUACUUAAUGCGGAUAAAAGGUAAAAAUGCUAUUGUAAAUUGUGAUAAACUGGCCUAUUCAUUAAAGGCAUGCAUCUUUUGCACUGAUUAUAAACAAAACCUUUCUACGAAGAAGACAAAUUAGCAUAUUUGGAAUACUUAAAAAGACUACGUAAACACAAUGUAAAUCCCAACCAAAAAAUAAUAAAAGUGAAAAAAAGCAGCAACGUGUGUCAUCAUUUUCUG